GUAUUUCAUAUCCCCCUCUAGAUGUUAUGUUUUAUCAGUUAUGUUACAGUUUUGAACCUUAUAGUUUUACAAAUUUUAAUUCUGCAUUUAUACAGUAUAUUAUGCAUUGUUUAGGUGUAGAUAUCAGCCAUGAGUUAGCUUGUGGUCCUUCGGGGUCAUGAGUACUGUGUAGCAUUUUAGGUGUCAGAUUCGAGGCGUUACAAAAAUAAUCCUCCCAAAAUUUAUACUAUUUUCUCAUAUUAUAAGUUCUUAAACAAUUUCGUAAAAUCAUGCUUGACUCAAAAUAUCGUACCAUGAACAUAUUUAUCUCUACGAGCAUUGGCUCCAAAUAUUUAGAUCUUUUCUUAACUUCAACUUUAGAUAAUAUAUUCUUUUUCUUUUCAAAACAUACUAAUAUACAUAAGGGUUUUCAUAAUAUUUUCUUGAACCUGCUGAUUUGUGACAUAUACUUAAGUAACUAUGAUUCAAUCCCUUGAAAAACAUAAAAUUAUCUUUCAAUUACAAUUAAUAUGACUCACAAGAUUUAUAUGAAUGAAUUUGAAAGUCAAGCCAUAAAGAUUCAAAGAAUGGAGGACUCUAACUCAAGAAAUGGAUAUAUAUUCUCAAGAAAUAUUCGAGAAUUUGUAUCAAAACCAAGAACAAUGCUUAGGGAUAUUAAAUCUUGGAACCCUAAAUUUAAAGCAUGAACUUAAUAUGAAACUAUGAUUCAAUUGUGGGGAAGAACAGAGGUCCUCAUGAAAGAUGUUUCUCUUACGUACCUCGGAGAUCAACUAUGGAGAAGAACCUUUUGGAUUUGGAGCCCUAACUUGAUAUUUCUUGAAGCUUGAAUGUUUUGAGACCUUGAGAGAAUAUGAGAGGAUGCUUUUAAUUGAUACUAGGGUGAAUAUAAAAAUGGAAGAUGUUUUCGAUUGGUGGGGGCGGUUUAGAUUAAGGGAAGGACCAAAAAAAUCCUAAACCUACAUUUUUUGAGUCUGUGUGAUGGAUGAAUAAAUGGGUUUGGAGCUGCAAGACUUUCCAGUGUGAUGAUCAACUUGCUAACUUUUGGUAAAAUGGACAUAAUACUCUAGUAUUGGAUUAUUGAGCGGUCAGUGGUGUUGGAAAGAAGAUUCAAAGUCCUUUCAUUUGAUGUAUUUUGUGGCACAAAAGUCUUUGUAUUCUAGGAGUUAUGCUUAUUUGAAGUUGAUCCUACUAAAACCUCAUAAUAAAACUUGAUUUAUCGAAGUGUUCUCAACUAAACUUUGCGCUACUACUACUACUACUACUUUUUGUUGUUCUUGGAGCUCUAGGGUUUUAAGCUACUCUUUCCAUAGCUAUUCACCUUGGAGUUCAAGGGCUUUAAUUGCUACUCUCUCCGCUUCAAGGAUUCAAAGACCAUGAGCAAAUGGAAAUUGCAUGAAAAGACAAAGCUCCAGCAUAGAGAAGUUGUGAAAGCUUAGUUCAAGGGAAAUCUGAUGAAAAAAAGUUGAGACAAAGCUGGAAAAAGAAGGAAAGUGAGAAAAAGAAGAAAAGCUGAGGAUAGGCCCUAAGAUGCGACCCUCAAUAUUGCUAUCGGACUCUGAGGGUCGUCAUCAUAAUUGAGUGGAGCCGAUAGAAGUACCGCAAUCGUGAGCCGAUGCUUCGUGAUCGCGACCAGAGGAUGUGAUCACUGGUAUCUGGAAAAUUUCCAAAGGCAGCAAAGGAAUUUCUCAAGGCUCCAUCCCAAGAUAUAAAAGGCUAAACCCUUCAUGUUUCAACCAUCCACUUCUUCAGUUUUGAGAGAAAAAUACAGUAUUAUUGGGUGGAAUAUAAUUUGUGGGUGUGUUCUUAAAGAAAAAUUUUAUCUAUUUAUUUGAAUUUGAAUAUAGGAGUUUAUAUUCAUUUGGGUAUAAAUCUUCUCUUUUUUUCCAUGAGUAGGUAAACUUGUUGUAAUACCCCGUACUUUUCUUAAUUCAA
Capsicum annuum is the source of this 1932-nucleotide long non-coding RNA. RefSeq lists it as uncharacterized. The record is from RefSeq and is a predicted model, not a curated record. Lineage: Eukaryota; Viridiplantae; Streptophyta; Magnoliopsida; Solanales; Solanaceae. The transcript is spliced from 3 exons.